This 363-nucleotide unclassified non-coding RNA is filed under the name uncultured fungus. RNAcentral's name for it is "sequence contains ITS1". The stretch from base 1 to 104 matches the Rfam family "5.8S ribosomal RNA", at positions 50 to 154 of the family's 154-position model. Lineage: Eukaryota; Fungi. The record is from RNAcentral.
GAAAUGCGAUACUUGGUGUGAAUUGCAGGAGUAGUGAAUCAUCAAACCUUUGAACGCAAGUUGCGCUCUCAGGAAAUCCUGAGAGCACGCUUGUUCGAGCGUCACCCACUUUCCUCAACCUCUCAACCCCUCGGGGCUGCAGAGCAAGGACACGGGCAACUCCACCGACCUGGCGGAGCUGCUUCAGUUCGAGCGAGGUGGUUUGUGCACAGUCUCUCUCCACGCAGAAGUCGGAAAGCCUUGUGCUCAUGACCCUGCAGCCGAGCAGACUCCGUGUCGAAGAACCUCGUGGGUUCGAUCGCUUUAAUGCGAUCAUUUUCAACCCGUGACCUCGAAUCAAGCGGAGCCACCCGCUGAAUUUAA